RNAcentral lists this ribosomal RNA (408 nucleotides) under uncultured bacterium. Its description in RNAcentral is "partial 16S ribosomal RNA". It matches the Rfam family "Bacterial small subunit ribosomal RNA", at positions 29 to 526 of the family's 1533-position model. The record is from RNAcentral.
AGUGAACGCUGGCGGCGUGCCUAAUACAUGCAAGUCGAACGGAGUGGCGCACGGGUGAGUAAUAUAUAGCUAAUCUGCCCCUUGCUGGAGGACAACAGAUAGAAAUGACUGCUAAUACCCCAUAGCAAGGGAUGAGACUAUAUCGUAUCAGCUAGUCGGUGGGGUAACGGGCUACCGAGGCGAUGACGCGUAACUUGUCUGCGAGGAUGAUCACUCGCAUUGGAACGGAGCCACGGUCCAAACUCCUACGUGAGUCAGCAGUAGGGUAUAUUGCGCAAGGGGGGCAAACGUGACGCAGCAACGCCGCGUAGAGGAUGUCACUUUUCGGGGCGUGUAUUCCUUUUGUUAGGGUAGCGGUACCUACCGAAUAAGCACCGGCUAACUCCGUGCCAGCCGCCGCGGUAAUUC